GGGGAAUCUUGCGCAAUGGGCGAAAGCCUGACGCAGCCAUGCCGCGUGAAUGAUGAAGGUCUUAGGAUUGUAAAAUUCUUUCACCGGGGACGAUAAUGACGGUACCCGGAGAAGAAGCCCCGGCUAACUUCGUGCCAGCAGCCGCGGUAAUACGAAGGGGGCUAGCGUUGCUCGGAAUUACUGGGCGUAAAGGGAGCGUAGGCGGACUGUUAAGUUAGAGGUGAAAGCCCAGGGCUCAACCUUGGAAUUGCCUUUGAUACUGGCAGUCUUGAGUACGGAAGAGGUAUGUGGAACUCCGAGUGUAGAGGUGAAAUUCGUAGAUAUUCGGAAGAACGCCAGUGGCGAAGGCGACAUACUGGUCCGUUACUGACGCUGAGGCUCGAAAGCGUGGGGAGCAAAC
RNAcentral lists this ribosomal RNA (400 nucleotides) under uncultured bacterium. RNAcentral's name for it is "bacterial SSU rRNA". It matches the Rfam family "Bacterial small subunit ribosomal RNA", at positions 356 to 773 of the family's 1533-position model. The record is from RNAcentral.